RNAcentral lists this transfer-messenger RNA (338 nucleotides) under human gut metagenome. It matches the Rfam family "transfer-messenger RNA". Rfam says of the family: Bacterial tmRNA, also known as 10Sa RNA or SsrA, is named for its dual tRNA and mRNA-like properties. The record is from RNAcentral.
GGGGUAGUAAAGGUUUCGACAGGGUAUUAGAAGCUGGAGAAGCAAGCCGCAGAAGAUGCGUCAAAUCUUAAAUUAAAAUUAAACGCUGAAGAUAAUUUAGCACUCGCUGCCUAAUGGCAGCUGUCCGCCGCUUUGCACCUGCACAUAGCGGGGCGGGCAUCAUCUAUGCAGGAAACGACAUAUGUGAUGCUUUUAGCAUAUGGGCGUAUUAAAAAGCUACCAACCCCAUAACCCCGCCAUUCGGGGUAUGGCAGAGGGAAUGUUAAAAGAAUGGCUAAGCUUGUAGAAGUACGGUGGAAGAUGCUUUGGACGCGGGUUCGACUCCCGCCUACUCCACU